GAUGAACGCUGGCGGCGUGCCUAAUACAUGCAAGUCGAGCGAACAGAUAAGGAGCUUGCUCCUUUGACGUUAGCGGCGGACGGGUGGGUAACACGUGGGUAACCUACCUAUAAGACUGGGAUAACUUCGGGAAACCGGAGCUAAUACCGGAUAACAUUUGGAACCGCAUGGUUCUAAAGUGAAAGAUGGUUUUGCUAUCACUUAUAGAUGGACCCGCGCCGUAUUAGCUAGUUGGUAAGGUAACGGCUUACCAAGGCAACGAUACGUAGCCGACCUGAGAGGGUGAUCGGCCACACUGGAACUGAGACACGGUCCAGACUCCUACGGGAGGCAGCAGUAGGGAAUCUUCCGCAAUGGGCGAAAGCCUGACGGAGCAACGCCGCGUGAGUGAUGAAGGGUUUCGGCUCGUAAAACUCUGUUAUUAGGGAAGAACAAAUGUGUAAGUAGCUGUGCACGUCUUGACGGUACCUAAUCAGAAAGCCACGGCUAACUACGUG
This 497-nucleotide ribosomal RNA is filed under the name uncultured bacterium. RNAcentral's name for it is "partial 16S ribosomal RNA". It matches the Rfam family "Bacterial small subunit ribosomal RNA", at positions 28 to 507 of the family's 1533-position model. The record is from RNAcentral.